This is a long non-coding RNA of Aethalodelphis obliquidens (Pacific white-sided dolphin), 365 nucleotides long. RefSeq lists it as uncharacterized. The record is from RefSeq and is a predicted model, not a curated record. The transcript has 3 exons. NCBI's taxonomy places the organism in Eukaryota, Metazoa, Chordata, Mammalia, Artiodactyla, Delphinidae.
AUGGGGGACUUUUACUUUCUUUUCUUACUCCACUGUAUUUUUCCUGUUUUUAUAGGCCUGUGUGAUUUCAUAAUUCAAGAAGGUCGAUGUAGAUACUCAGAUAUUUUAGUUUACUUCUUCUCUGGAAAAUCCCAGGAUUUGUAGAUCCUCCCAGAGAAAACAUCAAUCCUAAUGAACUUUUCAAACUUCUCUGUGAACAAUGUAAAAGCUAGAUUCCAGCUUUAAGCACCACUAUACCAGACUGCCACCCCUGAAGCAACCUCUUUUUCCUUGGUUGGUGGUUGUAGCCUCCCUGAAGUUAGAAGAUGUGUGGGACCUUGCCUCCAAGAUUCUGAGUACAAAACUGCCUCCUAGGUAAACCUACC